AAUUAUGGUAUAGUUGAUAAAGAAAUGAGAGCGGGUUGGAGUAAAAAUAAUAAAUUAUUACAACCCUUACAUUUUGUUAAUUUAUUAAGUGAGAUUAAAACUGGACCAAAAUGUGUUGUAUUAACUUUAGUUGACGUGUUUGACUUCCAUGGUUCCAUUUUACCGCAUUUAAAAGAUAUUAUUGGUACAAAUCCGCUUCAUAUUGCUGUGAAUAAGGUUGAUUUGUUGCCUCUUGACUACAGUGUCGAUCGAGUGAAGCAAUGGGUUCUCCAAGAAGCAAAGCAGC
Molecule: non-coding RNA, 286 nt
Filed under: Pteridomonas danica
Lineage: Eukaryota; Dictyochophyceae; Pedinellales
Source: RNAcentral